Molecule: ribosomal RNA, 433 nt
Filed under: uncultured bacterium
Lineage: Bacteria
Description: partial 16S ribosomal RNA
Rfam family: Bacterial small subunit ribosomal RNA
Source: RNAcentral
AACGAACGCUGGCGGCAUGCCUAACACAUGCAAGUCGAACGGGACCUUCGGGUCUAGUGGCGCACGGGUGCGUGACGCGUGGGAACCUGCCCUUAGGUUCGGAAUAACUCCCCGAAAGGGGUCCUAAUACCGCUGAAUGUCUUCGGACCAAAGAUUUACCGCCAUUGGAUGGGCCCGCGUUAGAUUCGCUAGUUGGUAGGGGAAAAGCCUACCAAGGCGACGAUCCAUAGCUGGUCGGAGAGGAGGACCAGCCACACUGGGACUGAGACACGGCCCAGACUCCUACGGGAGGGAGCAGUGGGGAAUAUUGGAGAAGGGGCGAAAGCCUGAUCCAGCAAUGCCGGGUGAGUGAUGAAGGCCUUAGGGUUGUAAAGCUCUUUUACCCGGGAUGAUAAUGACAGUACCGGGAGAAUAAGCUCCGGCUAACUCCGUG